UUGAGCCUUCUUGUACCCCACGGUAAAUAUAAGGGGACAUAAAUGUAAAGAGCAAAAGGCACUGCAGCUCUGUGGCAUCAAAAUGUGACCUCCUCCCAUGGCUCAAAACCAUUCUGGAGGAGCAAAACCUCCUCUGAGAUGUGUGGGGAGAAAAAAAGACAUAGGUGCAAUGUCUAACCACUGAUUCUGCCCAGCAAUUAGAGUUGAUGGGGACCACAGAUAGAUGGCAAUCAUUAGCACAAGGAUGAGGCUGUCCAGAAAAUUACCCUGUGGAUCCCAAGAACUUGAAUCAGACUUUUGAAAUGGGCACUGCACCAGUCCCUAGCACAUGGCAUGGAGGAGAGGAAGAGCAUUUUGAGGUUGUCUCCCAAAGUGAUGGGAGGCAGUGGAGAAAAGUGCAUGGAAGAAGUGCCUGAGCGUGGCAGGAGGCAAACACUGCGUCCUUUCAGUGGCUGGAGCUGGUGUGUGCAUGCAGCACAGAGAACAUAGAGUCAUAGAAUCAUUAAGAAAACGCCUCCAAGAUCACCUAGUCCCACUGCCAACCAAUCACCAAAAUGCCCACUAACCCAUGUUCCUCAGUGCCACAUCUACACGUUUCCUGAACACGUACAGGAACAGUGAAUCCACCACCUCUCAACCAGUAAGAAGUGAAAUAACCUUUGGGAAGCCACACCAUGGCCUUCAUUGGUGUAUCUCAACUCUGGAUGCGUCGACUUGAGUUAGUAGAGAACUGGCCACUUAGGGGUGAUUCCCCAAAUUAGUUGCUUUGAAUCACUGACAAAAUAAAAAUAAUGGCAGCAAAAAUAUGGGGAGAAAUGAAACUCCCUGUACUUAUUGAAAGGAAGCUUGACAGAAGUCAACACAUUCCCACAAAACGUCAAUCAGUUUUGCAUUAGUGAAUAUUCAGAGUGAUAGGUGUCAAAAAAAAAAAAAAGAGAAAGAAAGAAAAAAAAAGAAAGAAAGAAAGAAAAGAAAAACAGAAGAAAAUCACUUUCCUGGGAAAUACUGGAUGGAUUCCAACGCUGAGAGCUGAUCUAAGCCCACGAGAGGGAGCUAAUGCUUCUGUACAGUGCCGGAGUGGCUAUGGAAUGCCAGAGCAAUUUUCAAGGGAACAGAAACCAGCAGCUAUGCAAGGGAUGCAAGGGCUCUGCUGGAAACCACCCAGACUGUGUGAGCAGCCCUGGCGAGCCUCCAGCGUCUGCUUGCUCCCACGCUGUCGGCAGCAGGGGAUGUGCCUCUAUUUGCUGGCAUAGGGUUUUCUUGUUUGUCUCAUACCAACUCCUGGGGAGCUUGUUCUUGCUCUAGCAUAGACUCAUAGAAUCAUGGAACCAUAGAACCAUAGAAUAGUUUGGGUUGUAAGGAACUUUAAAGGUCACCAAGCGCCAAACCCCUGCACCAUAGGCAGGGUUGCCAUUCACUAGACCAGGCUGUCCAUAGUCCCAUCCAACAAAAUAUCCAAAGCCCAAAGCUGGUACCGAGCUCUGCAAGGUUUCAACUCACAGCAUAUGGCUAUGGGCUACUUGGAAAUGGGGUCCAAACCCCUCUUCCUUCCUAUGGUGCUCUUGGGAGUCCUGAGAAUUGCUGGACUUUAUGUAGGGAACCUUCUUUUCUUGGCACCUGAAAAGUCCCCUGGAGUGAAGAGAGGAUCAGACUGGAAGGAUCUGUGAUGUUACAGAAUCAUACAAUCAUUACCGUUGGAAAAG
Molecule: long non-coding RNA, 1703 nt
Organism: Gallus gallus (chicken)
Lineage: Eukaryota; Metazoa; Chordata; Aves; Galliformes; Phasianidae
Source: Ensembl